RNAcentral lists this ribosomal RNA (800 nucleotides) under uncultured bacterium. RNAcentral's name for it is "bacterial SSU rRNA". It matches the Rfam family "Bacterial small subunit ribosomal RNA", at positions 9 to 806 of the family's 1533-position model. The record is from RNAcentral.
GAGUUUGAUCCUGGCUCAGGAUGAACGCUAGCUGGAGGCUUAAUACAUGCAAGUCGAGCGGGAUCUCUGCAGCAAUGCAGGGUGAGAGCGGCGCACGGGUGAGUAACGCGUACACGACCUACCUCUGACAGGGGGAUAGCCCUGGGAAACCGGGAUUAAUACCGCAUAUUAUUCAGAAGAAUAAAGGUUCUGAAUGAAAGCUCAGGCGGUCAGAGAUGGGUGUGCGUCUGAUUAGCUAGUUGGUAGGGUAACGGCCUACCAAGGCGAUGAUCAGUAGGGGGCGUGAGAGCGUGGUCCCCCACACGGGUACUGAGACACGGACCCGACUCCUACGGGAGGCAGCAGUAAGGAAUAUUGGACAAUGGCCGCAAGGCUGAUCCAGCCAUCCAGCGUGCAGGAAGAAGGCCCUAUGGGUUGUAAACUGCUUUUAUCAGGGAAGAAACCUCUGGAUUCACUCCGGAGCUGACGGUACCUGAAGAAUAAGCACCGGCUAACUCCGUGCCAGCAGCCGCGGUAAUACGGAGGGUGCGAGCGUUAUCCGGAAUUACUGGGUUUAAAGGGUGCGUAGGCGGCUUGGUAAGUCAGGAGUGAAAGUUUGCGGCUCAACCGUAAAAUUGCUUUUGAUACUGCCAGGCUAGAAUUAGGAUGAGGUCAGCGGAAUGUGGCAUGUAGCGGUGAAAUGCAUAGAUAUGCCAUAGAACACCAAUUGCGAAGGCAGCUGGCUAGACCUAUAUUGACGCUGAGGCACGAAAGCGUGGGGAGCGAACAGGAUUAGAUACCCUGGUAGUCCACGCCGUAAA